GAUGAACGCUGGCGGCAGGCCUUACACAUGCAAGUCGAGCGAACGGAAUUAAAAACAAAUCUGAGAGCUUGCUCAAAGACGAGUUUUUUUGGAAGUUAGCGGCAAACGGGUGAGUAACGCGUAGGAAUUUCCCAUAAGCGGGGGAUAGCUCGUCGAAAGGCGAGGUAAUACCCCAUGUGAUCGCAAGAUUAAAGGAGCAAUCCACUUAUGGCAAAGCCUGCGUCCCAUCAGAUAGUUGGUAAGGUAAAAGCUUACCAAGUCAUAGACGGGUAGCUGGUCUGAGAGGAUGAUCAGCCACACUGGAACUGCGACACGGUCCAGACACCUACGGGUGGCAGCAGUGGGGAAUUUUCGGCAAUGGGCGCAAGCCUGACCGAGCCAUGCCGCGUGAAGGAUGAAGGCCCUAUGGGUUGUAAACUUCUGUGGAGAUCUAGUAAUUUUGAACAGAUCUCUAGAAAGAGGUUGCUAACUCUG
Molecule: ribosomal RNA, 474 nt
Filed under: uncultured bacterium
Lineage: Bacteria
Description: bacterial SSU rRNA
Rfam family: Bacterial small subunit ribosomal RNA
Source: RNAcentral